Molecule: transfer RNA, 69 nt
Filed under: Ilyoplax deschampsi
Lineage: Eukaryota; Metazoa; Arthropoda; Malacostraca; Decapoda; Dotillidae
Description: tRNA-Ser
Rfam family: tRNA
About the family: Transfer RNA (tRNA) molecules are approximately 80 nucleotides in length.
Source: RNAcentral
GAUUGUUUAGUUUAAUAUAAAAUAAAUGUCUUGAAAACAUUAGAAAAGAAAUCAUCUUCUUAACAAUCG